Molecule: non-coding RNA, 965 nt
Organism: Heterocephalus glaber (naked mole-rat)
Lineage: Eukaryota; Metazoa; Chordata; Mammalia; Rodentia; Bathyergidae
Source: RefSeq, a predicted model, not a curated record
CGGCCUGGACGUGAGAGGCCAUGUCCUCAAGUCACUCUGCACACCAUGUCCCUCCCGGUCUGAGUGGGUGAGAGGAAGACGCACCUUCUCCUGACCUCGUCUCCACCCAUCCUGGGGAGGACAGCGAGCCCAGGGGGCUCUUGGUUGUGACUCUGCAACAGAAGAGCUCAGGGACUGAACGCCUGGGAGAGGUGGCCCAGCUAUCCAGCAAAUCCUCUGUCAUCCUGGGGUCCAUGCAGCACCCGCAAGCCUACCAUGCAAAGCCCGGCAGGACAUCCUGUUUCCACGCCUCUGUCACCACGAGAUGGAACGCUGCUCAGCCAUUUCAGAGGAGCUUGUGCUUGCUGCUUCCUGCUCCGUUUAGCAUUGAGUGCUUCCAAAUUAGGAGCAGGAGUCUUGGGAGAGGGAAAUGGCUCUGAGUCUGCUGAGGAUGUCGGAGGACAGCUUCAACAACUUCAAUAAUAGCUUCGGAGCAGAGGCCUGUAUGGUCUGGAAACGAUGACAAGUGAAAGCUAAAGACUUUCACUGCCUCAGAGAACAGGGGAAGAUGGACCCUAAGUACACAGGACAAGAGAUAGGAAGCCUACUCUCGUGUGGCUGCCUUUAUUCCUCACACAAAUGAAACAUCCAGCGAGCACGCAGACGUCUGCUCUCUGCUCCAGGAUUUAGAUGUCCCGCAUCUCAGUCUGUGUGGAACAUACCUCUGUCAUUCUGAGGAAGCAGUGGUCAUAUUGACAAUAUUCACCCUAAAUCUGUCUGAAUUCUUUUUUUUUUAAAGUUAAACUUAAUUUAGUGUAUUGUUUGCUUUUUAAAAAUAACUAAAAUAGAUUCACACUUUAUCUAACAUCAGUCAUUCUUAACACAAAUGAGCCUGACUGGGGCAUACUUUUCUUUAUGCCACUUCAACAGACCCUAAGUUCCAUCUGUGGUUAUCACUCUAAGUAAAUAAAAAUAUUUAGAAUGCA